This 369-nucleotide ribosomal RNA is filed under the name Podarcis tiliguerta. RNAcentral's name for it is "12S ribosomal RNA". It matches the Rfam family "Bacterial small subunit ribosomal RNA", at positions 848 to 1384 of the family's 1533-position model. The record is from RNAcentral. Lineage: Eukaryota; Metazoa; Chordata; Lepidosauria; Squamata; Lacertidae.
GUUACUAAUACAAUACUUUCCGCCAGAGAACUACAAGUGAAAAACUUGAAACUCAAAGGACUUGACGGUGUCCCAUAUCGACCUAGAGGAGCCUGUCCUAUAAUCGAUACCCCCCGUUCCACCCAACCUCAACUAGCAAAAUAUCAGCCUAUAUACCGCCGUCGACAGUUUACCCUAUGAAGGCCCAAUAGUAGACACAAUAGCCCUAAACGCUAAUACGUCAGGUCAAGGUGUAGCAGAUGUUGAGGAAGAGAUUGGCUACAUUUUUUAUAAUAAAAAACACGAAUUGCACUAUGAAAAACUGCAUGAAGGUGAAUUUAGUAGUAAAACAGAUAAGAGUGUCUGUUUUAACAACGCUCUGGGACGCGU